GACGAACGCUGGCGGCGUGCCUAAUACAUGCAAGUAGAACGCACAGUUUAUACCGUAGCUUGCUACACCAUAGACUGUGAGUUGCGAACGGGUGAGUAACGCGUAGGUAACCUGCCUGGUAGCGGGGGAUAACUAUUGGAAACGAUAGCUAAUACCGCAUAAUCUUGAUUAUUGCAUGAUAAUUGAUUGAAAGAUGCUAUUGCAUCACUACCAGAUGGACCUGCGUUGUAUUAGCUAGUAGGUGAGGUAACGGCUCACCUAGGCGACGAUACAUAGCCGACCUGAGAGGGUGAUCGGCCACACUGGGACUGAGACACGGCCCAGACUCCUACGGGAGGCAGCAGUAGGGAAUCUUCGGCAAUGGACGAAAGUCUGACCGAGCAAGGCCGCGUGAGUGAAGAAGGUUUUCGGAUCGUAAAGCUCUGUUGUAAGAGAAGAACGGGUGUGAGAGUGGAAAGUUCACACUGUGACGGUAUCUUACCAGAAAGGGACGGCUAACUACGUG
RNAcentral lists this ribosomal RNA (505 nucleotides) under uncultured bacterium. RNAcentral's name for it is "partial 16S ribosomal RNA". It matches the Rfam family "Bacterial small subunit ribosomal RNA", at positions 28 to 507 of the family's 1533-position model. The record is from RNAcentral.